Epinephelus fuscoguttatus (brown-marbled grouper) is the source of this 442-nucleotide long non-coding RNA. RefSeq lists it as uncharacterized. The record is from RefSeq and is a predicted model, not a curated record. The transcript has 3 exons. Lineage: Eukaryota; Metazoa; Chordata; Actinopteri; Perciformes; Serranidae.
UGUGUGUGUGUGCGUGUGUGUGUGCGUGUGAGACGCACUUGGCCUCCAGGUAUUCCCGCGGCAGCGUCUCGACUUCCUGGUGGGCCAUUCCCGAUGACAUCAGCUCUUUUUCAACCAGUUCUUCUGAAGAGGACAGUUCUGGCAUCUUGGACACGGUGGGCAGUGUGUGUGUGUGUGUGUGUGUGUGUGUGUGUGUGUGGUACCUCCUCAGCCAUCCUCCAGCAGCAGGCCUUCCAGAUUCCUCUCUGAGGGUUUCCUUCAACAGGCUGCAGCUGCCCACUGCCUGCAGAGACACGAUGGAGACAUCACGAAGACGGCGCCAACUGGACCCGGUCCCUGCAGACACAGACAGCUCAUCAGUCAGAGACAAGUGGACAGACAGACAGACAGACAGGUACACGUGGACAGGUGCGUACUUGUACAGCGAGGUGAUGAGUCUCCA